UACAGAGGGUGCGAGCGUUAAUCGGAAUUACUGGGCGUAAAGUGCGCGCAGGUGGCCUCGCAUGUCGAGUGUGAAAUCCCCGGGCUUAACUUGGGAAUUGCGCUCGAAACUACGUGGCUCGAGUGUGGCAGAGGAAGGUGGAAUUCCACGUGUAGCGGUGAAAUGCGUAGAGAUGUGGAGGAACACCGAUGGCGAAGGCAGCCUUCUGGGCCAACACUGACGCUCAUGCACGAAAGCGUGGGGAGCAAACGGG
Molecule: ribosomal RNA, 253 nt
Filed under: uncultured bacterium
Lineage: Bacteria
Description: partial 16S ribosomal RNA
Rfam family: Bacterial small subunit ribosomal RNA
Source: RNAcentral